This 229-nucleotide ribosomal RNA is filed under the name uncultured bacterium. RNAcentral describes it as "partial 16S ribosomal RNA". It matches the Rfam family "Bacterial small subunit ribosomal RNA", at positions 568 to 796 of the family's 1533-position model. The record is from RNAcentral.
UGCGUAGGCGGGCUAAUAAGUCAGUGGUGAAAUCUUCCGGCUCAACCGGGAACCUGCCAUUGAUACUGUUAGUCUUGAGUACGGCUGAGGUAGGCGGAAUGUGUAAUGUAGCGGUGAAAUGCUUAGAUAUUACACAGAACACCAAUUGCGUAGGCAGCUUACUAGACCGACACUGACGCUGAGGCACGAAAGCGUGGGGAGCGAACAGGAUUAGAUACCCUGGUAGUCC